AUAUUUAUCAUCUUCAAGCUUGUCUAUGAAAUAUUUUGGCUCCCUAGUAUGGUGAAAAACAAGCUGUAGAAGUUGCUUAAUGUAGAGGAGCAACACUUAGAAGCUUUAUUCAAAUCUACCCAUAUUCAAUGCUUCAAAGCUUCUGAAUACACCCUUCUCUCCUUAAAUCAACACUUAACAAAAAUUUACAAAAAUUUUGGUAGGCUAUAUUUAUUGUAUCUGCUCAAAUAUAUUUCUUCUGGAUAUGACAUUGAACUGCCUCCAGUAGCGAGGCUCCAGUUCAGGAGUUGUGGGGAGCAUGGAGUCACCUCUUAAUUACCGUUAUUCCCAAGUUCAUUCCGUCAUGUUAUGGUCCCAUUUAUGGGUUAAAUAUAUAGUUGUAAGAGUAGAUUAAGGCCCUUAACUGUUAUGAAAGCAAUCAAUCUACAAGUAAAAACUCCAAAAUGAAUAGCCUCUUUCAACAUGCCCGAAGCUAGCCUGGAUGAAUAUGGCUGAUGAAAUUAACAUGAAAUAUGUCCAGUAACAGAUUCAUAGUAUGGAGAUAACCAUCUCCUGUUGGUGCACAUUCUGCUUCCAGUUAGAGAUAGAGGGAAGUGAGGAUUUAAAUAUAAGACAAGGUUGUUUAUUUUGAUCUUUUUAUUUUAAAUUGUACCAU
Long non-coding RNA from Octopus sinensis (East Asian common octopus), 655 nucleotides. RefSeq lists it as uncharacterized. The record is from RefSeq and is a predicted model, not a curated record. NCBI's taxonomy places the organism in Eukaryota, Metazoa, Mollusca, Cephalopoda, Octopoda, Octopodidae. The transcript has 2 exons.